GCCUAAGCUAAAAAGAUAACACUCUUUUCCCCUAAAAAUUUCAUCUCCCUUCUUUUUCCCCCACUCCCAACGCGAUUCUCGUUCCCUUUCUCUCCAUCGAUUUCAAGACUUUGCUCUCUAUCGAUUGCCUUAGAUGGUGUAAUAGGAGGUAGAGAUUUGUAGUGCUUGCAGGUGAUUUCUUCACUCGACAGAUCUCCAUCCUACAAUCGAUUCCUUCCAACCAAAUAUCGAUUUCUCUCCUGAAUCUUCAACCUGGAGGUCUGGUUUUAUAGCUACAGGAUGUCUUAAAUUGCCCUCGUUAUCAAUCUCAAAUGUGAAAAACUGGUGCUCUUUUGAGAUUUUGUUGGAGCCAAAUAUUAUUGGCCAGUUAUAUUGGUGGUGAUGCAAGCUUGUUGAAGACAGGGAGGAAGGAGAAGAAAGAUGGAAUGCUUUAUCAAGAAAAUGGGGUUGUUUGUGAAGACAGUACUGUGGUCUUCAACAAUUUUCAAAACCUAAUAACAUUUGUGAAACCAUGUUCUUGUUCAUUAAGUUUUACAGUUAACUACAAUGCAUGAUGUUCUAAUAGAAAUUACAUGAUGUAGACAAAACCCAUUGUUUUCCAAUCAUCAACUAAUGGAGACUACCAACUGUUUUCUCU
Molecule: long non-coding RNA, 637 nt
Organism: Cynara cardunculus var. scolymus (artichoke)
Lineage: Eukaryota; Viridiplantae; Streptophyta; Magnoliopsida; Asterales; Asteraceae
Exons: 2
Source: RefSeq, a predicted model, not a curated record